Molecule: small RNA, 542 nt
Filed under: Lodderomyces parapsilosis
Lineage: Eukaryota; Fungi; Ascomycota; Pichiomycetes; Serinales; Debaryomycetaceae
Description: eukaryotic LSU rRNA
Rfam family: 5.8S ribosomal RNA (bases 206-359)
Source: RNAcentral
GAAAGGUUAAAGUCGUAACAAGGUUUCCGUAGGUGAACCUGCGGAAGGAUCAUUACAGAAUGAAAAGUGCUUAACUGCAUUUUUUCUUACACAUGUGUUUUUCUUUUUUUGAAAACUUUGCUUUGGUAGGCCUUCUAUAUGGGGCCUGCCAGAGAUUAAACUCAACCAAAUUUUAUUUAAUGUCAACCGAUUAUUUAAUAGUCAAAACUUUCAACAACGGAUCUCUUGGUUCUCGCAUCGAUGAAGAACGCAGCGAAAUGCGAUAAGUAAUAUGAAUUGCAGAUAUUCGUGAAUCAUCGAAUCUUUGAACGCACAUUGCGCCCUUUGGUAUUCCAAAGGGCAUGCCUGUUUGAGCGUCAUUUCUCCCUCAAACCCUCGGGUUUGGUGUUGAGCGAUACGCUGGGUUUGCUUGAAAGAAAGGCGGAGUAUAAACUAAUGGAUAGGUUUUUUCCACUCAUUGGUACAAACUCCAAAACUUCUUCCAAAUUCGACCUCAAAUCAGGUAGGACUACCCGCUGAACUUAAGCAUAUCAAUAGCGGGA